CAAUAGCGUAUAUUAAAGUUGUUGCAGUUAAAAAGCUCGUAGUUGGAUUUCUGGUAGGAGUGACCGUGCCAGACUUGAUUGUCUGUGUAUUGUGUUGUCUCCAGCCGUCCUUGUGGAGAACUUUUCUUGCAUUAAUUUGUAGGGAUUGGGACCCGCAUCGUUUACUGUGAAAAAAUUAGAGUGUUUAAAGCAGGCAAUCGCUUGAAUACAUCAGCAUGGAAUAAUAAGAUAGGACUUUGGUACUAUUUUGUUGGUUUGCAUACCAAAUUAAUGAUCAACAGGAACAGUUUGAGGAUAUUCGUAUGAACAUGUCAGAGGUGAAAUUCUUGGAUUUUGAUCAGACGAACUACUGCGAAAGCAUUUAUCAAGGAUGUUUUCAUUAA
This 383-nucleotide ribosomal RNA is filed under the name uncultured eukaryote. RNAcentral describes it as "partial 18S ribosomal RNA". It matches the Rfam family "Eukaryotic small subunit ribosomal RNA", at positions 592 to 976 of the family's 1831-position model. The record is from RNAcentral.